GGACUACUGGGGUAUCUAAUCCUGUUUGAUCCCCACGCUUUCGGGUCUCAGUGUCAAUGUUGGGCCAGGUAGCCGCCUUCGCCACCGGUGUUCCUCCAGAUAUCUACGUAUUUCACCACUACACCUGGAAUUCCACUACCCUCUCCCACAUUCAAGCUCUGCAGUAUCAAAAGCACUUCCCGGGUUAAGCCCGGGGCUUUCACUUCUGACUUAUAGAGCCACCUACACCCGCUUUACGCCCAAUGAUUCCGAACAACGCUUGGACCCCUCGUCUUACCGCGGCUGCUGGCAC
This 292-nucleotide ribosomal RNA is filed under the name uncultured bacterium. RNAcentral's name for it is "partial 16S ribosomal RNA". The record is from RNAcentral.